This 86-nucleotide transfer RNA is filed under the name Acetobacter sp. RNAcentral's name for it is "tRNA-Leu". It matches the Rfam family "tRNA". Rfam says of the family: Transfer RNA (tRNA) molecules are approximately 80 nucleotides in length. RNAcentral also lists the same sequence under 2 other names. Lineage: Bacteria; Pseudomonadati; Pseudomonadota; Alphaproteobacteria; Acetobacterales; Acetobacteraceae. The record is from RNAcentral.
GCGAGCUUGGCGGAAUGGUAGACGCACGAGACUUAAAAUCUCGAGUCCGUAAGGGCGUGCGGGUUCGAGUCCCGCAGUUCGCACCA